Non-coding RNA from Mus musculus (house mouse), 78 nucleotides. NCBI's taxonomy places the organism in Eukaryota, Metazoa, Chordata, Mammalia, Rodentia, Muridae. The record is from Rfam.
CCUACCUUCAAGGAGCUCACAGUCUAUUGAGUUGCCUUUCUGAUUCUCCCACUAGAUUGUGAGCUGCUGGAGGGCAGG